AAUAAAACAUUUUUUACCCACAGAAAAUGUGGUCCCUUAGAGGAGAAGCAAGGUCCUGAGCCAAACUUUAUAAUGUACGUUCCUAGGAGGGAAAGCGAGGGAAAUUCAGUCCACCGCUCUGCCUGCCUGCCUGCCUGCCUGCCUGCCUGAGGAGUUGCAGUGCAGAGUAUCAUUGCAGCGCUUUUCCAGGGAGUAACGUGCUGCACUGGUUCAGGGCUUUGUCUUUAUUCACAACACAUUCAUGUGCCUCAGCAUGGGGGCAGCUGCACUGUUGCCUGCCAGCCUGUCCUCUUUGACUGCCGAAUGAACCAAAGGAUAACUCUCCAUUCGUGAGAGAGAGUGAGCUACAGAGGAAGAAAGACCACGCAAAAGGGAGGGGGAGAGAGGGGGGCGAAGAGGAUGUUCUCCGGCUCACUCCUACAUUAGGUCUCUGUGCAAAGGCAGAGGCUGUGGGAGCAGCAUCAAGCAAGACUUCGGGCAGUGAUUCUAACUAUUGCCUAUGAACACCGUGGCUGGGACGACUUUGACGAGGCAAUUUAUUACUUACGCAUAGAACACUGGCUGUGCUGAAACUGGGAGCGCAAACAGCCCCUUGUUUUCUAAUUUAGAGACUUGCAUCUUUUCGACACUCAACAGUAUCAAGACACUCUGCUACUACAGAUUGAUUUCCACCAUCAACACCUUUACCUCUUCCCGCCUGAAAAUAAAAUAUGAAAUAUAACAAGUAAAUCGCAAUCUACCUUGAAUCUUCUGGAGAGGAAAGAAGAAACCAUGUCUAGACAAGGUGCUGGAAAGACCCAGGGAAGACACAGGCUUUGGUAUCAGGAUGAUGCUGGCCUCACAAAAUGAGUUAGGGAGGAUUCCCUCUUUUUCUAUUGAUUGGAAUAGUUUCAGAAGGAAUGGUACCAGCUCCUCCUUGUACCUCUGGUAGAAUUCGGCUGUGAAUCCAUCUGGUCCUGGACUUUUUUUGGUUGGUAAGCUAUUAAUUAUUGCCUCAAUUUCGGAGCCUGUUAUUGGUCUAUUCAGAGAUUCAACUUCUUCCUGGUUUGGCCUUGGGAGGGUGUAUGUGUCGAGGAAUUUAUCCAUUUCUUCUAGAUUUUCUAGUUUAUUUGCGUAGAGGUGUUUAUAG
Molecule: long non-coding RNA, 1129 nt
Filed under: Homo sapiens (human)
Lineage: Eukaryota; Metazoa; Chordata; Mammalia; Primates; Hominidae
Description: HSALNT0097171
Source: RNAcentral